UGGCGGCGAGUGGCGAACGGGUGAGUAAUAUAUCGGAACGUACCCAGAAGUGGGGGAUAACGUAGCGAAAGUUACGCUAAUACCGCAUACGAUCUACGGAUGAAAGUGGGGGACCUUCGGGCCUCAUGCUUUUGGAGCGGCCGAUAUCUGAUUAGCUAGUUGGUGAGGUAAAGGCUCACCAAGGCGACGAUCAGUAGCUGGUCUGAGAGGACGACCAGCCACACUGGGACUGAGACACGGCCCAGACUCCUACGGGAGGCAGCAGUGGGGAAUUUUGGACAAUGGGCGCAAGCCUGAUCCAGCAAUGCCGCGUGAGUGAAGAAGGCCUUCGGGUUGUAAAGCUCUUUUGUCAGGGAAGAAACGGCUGAGGNUAAUANCNUCGGCUAAUGACGGUACCUGAAGAAUAAGCACCGGCUAACUACGUGCCAGCAGCCGCGGUAAUACGUAGGGUGCAAGCGUUAAUCGGAAUUACUGGGCGUAAAGCGUGCGCAGGCGGUUUUGUAAGUCUGUCGUGAAAGCCCCGGGCUCAACCUGGGAAUUGCGAUGGAGACUGCAAGGCUUGAAUCUGGCAGAGGGGGGUAGAAUUCCACGUGUAGCAGUGAAAUGCGUAGAGAUGUGGAGGAACACCGAUGGCGAAGGCAG
Molecule: ribosomal RNA, 642 nt
Filed under: uncultured bacterium
Lineage: Bacteria
Description: bacterial SSU rRNA
Rfam family: Bacterial small subunit ribosomal RNA
Source: RNAcentral